CCUACGGGGGGCAGCAGUGGGGAAUAUUGGACAAUGGGCGAAAGCCUGAUCCAGCCAUGCCGCGUGUGUGAAGAAGGCCUUCGGGUUGUAAAGCACUUUCAGUGGGGAAGAAAGCCUUGGGGCUAAUACCCUCGAGGAAGGACAUCACCCACAGAAGAAGCACCGGCUAACUCCGUGCCAGCAGCCGCGGUAAUACGGAGGGUGCGAGCGUUAAUCGGAAUUACUGGGCGUAAAGCGCGCGUAGGCGGUCUGAUAAGCCGGUUGUGAAAGCCCCGGGCUCAACCUGGGAACGGCAUCCGGAACUGUCAGGCUAGAGUGCAGGAGAGGAAGGUAGAAUUCCCGGUGUAGCGGUGAAAUGCGUAGAGAUCGGGAGGAAUACCAGUGGCGAAGGCGGCCUUCUGGUCUGACACUGACGCUGAGGUGCGAAAGCGUGGGUAGCAAACAGGAUUAGAUACCCUUGUAGUC
RNAcentral lists this ribosomal RNA (465 nucleotides) under Vreelandella stevensii. Its description in RNAcentral is "partial 16S ribosomal RNA". It matches the Rfam family "Bacterial small subunit ribosomal RNA", at positions 338 to 795 of the family's 1533-position model. Lineage: Bacteria; Pseudomonadati; Pseudomonadota; Gammaproteobacteria; Oceanospirillales; Halomonadaceae. The record is from RNAcentral.